This 253-nucleotide unclassified non-coding RNA is filed under the name uncultured Gammaproteobacteria bacterium. Its description in RNAcentral is "contains 16S-23S intergenic spacer region". It matches the Rfam family "Bacterial small subunit ribosomal RNA", at positions 524 to 776 of the family's 1533-position model. Lineage: Bacteria; Pseudomonadati; Pseudomonadota; Gammaproteobacteria. The record is from RNAcentral.
UACGGAGGGUGCGAGCGUUAAUCGGAAUUACUGGGCGUAAAGCGCGCGUAGGCGGCUGAUUAAGUCGGGUGUGAAAGCCCCGGGCUCAACCUGGGAAUUGCAUCCGAUACUGAUUGGCUUGAGUGCAGGAGAGGAAGGUAGAAUUCCACGUGUAGCGGUGAAAUGCGUAGAUAUGUGGAGGAAUACCGGUGGCGAAGGCGGCCUUCUGGCCUGACACUGACGCUGAGGUGCGAAAGCGUGGGGAGCAAACAGG